CCUACGGGUGGCAGCAGUGAGGAAUAUUGGUCAAUGGAUGCGAGCCUGAACCAGCCAAGUAGCGUGAAGGAUGACUGCCCUACGGGUUGUAAACUUCUUUUAUAUAGGAAUAAAGUGAUGCACGUGUGCCUUUUUGUAUGUACUUUAUGAAUAAGGAUCGGCUAACUCCGUGCCAGCAGCCGCGGUAAUACGGAGGAUCCGAGCGUUAUCCGGAUUUAUUGGGUUUAAAGGGAGCGUGGUGGGUUGUUAAGGCAGUUGUGAAAAUUUGCGGCUCAACCGUAAAAUUGCAGUUGAAACUGGCAGUCUUGAGUACAGUAGAGGUGGGCGGAAUUCGUGGUGUAGCGGUGAAAUGCUUAGAUAUCACGAAGAACUCCGAUUGCGAAGGCAGCUCACUAGACUGCAACUGACACUGAGGCUCGAAAGUGUGGGUAUCAAACAGGAUUAGAUACCCUUGUAGUC
RNAcentral lists this ribosomal RNA (459 nucleotides) under uncultured bacterium. Its description in RNAcentral is "partial 16S ribosomal RNA". It matches the Rfam family "Bacterial small subunit ribosomal RNA", at positions 338 to 795 of the family's 1533-position model. The record is from RNAcentral.